This 332-nucleotide ribosomal RNA is filed under the name uncultured eukaryote. RNAcentral's name for it is "partial 18S ribosomal RNA". It matches the Rfam family "Eukaryotic small subunit ribosomal RNA", at positions 592 to 976 of the family's 1831-position model. The record is from RNAcentral.
CAAUAGCGUAUAUUAAAGUUGUUGCAGUUAAAAAGCUCGUAGUUGAAUUUCGGGUCCCCACGCUCGGCGCUUCAUUGUGCCGUCGUGGUGUCCCUCCUCGCCGUAAGGCGUCCUUUACUGUGAAAAAAUUAGAGUGUUCAAAGCAGGCAAUCGCUUGAAUACAUUAGCAUGGAAUAAUAAGAUAGGAUCUUGUCUAUUUUGUUGGUUGCGGACAACGAUAAUGAUUAAUAGGGAUAGUUGGGGGUGUCCGUAUUGAGCUGUCAGAGGUGAAAUUCUUGGAUUUGCUCAAGACGAACUACUGCGAAAGCAUUCACCAAGGAUGUUUUCAUUAA